AACAGAGAGAGACAGAGCAUGAACAGGGGAGGGUCAGAGAGAGGGAGACACAGAAUCUGAAACAGGCUCCAGGCUCUGAGCCGUCAGCACAGAGCCCGACGUGGGGCUCGAACCCACGGACCACGAGAUCAUGACCUGAGCCGAAGUCGGCCGCUUAACCGACUGAGCCACCCAGGUGCCCCAAGAGUUCCCUUUUUAUCUACAUUCUCACCAGCACUUGUUAUUUCUUCCCUUUUUAAUAAUAGCAAUUCUAAUACAUGUGAGGUAAUACAAUCAUUUUGUCAAGUUUCAUGGAAAAUCCUGUGUGGAUUUUGCUUAGAAAUGUAUUGAAUCUACCCUUGAAUUUAAAGGAAAUUGACAUCUUAUUAUUAUCAAAUCUUACUAUGUCUAUGAACAUGGUAUGCCUCUCCAUUUAUUUAGAUUUUAUCUUUCGAAAAGUUGAAUUAUUUUUCACCCAGGUCUUCAACAUCUUUUUUGAAACCACUUUUAUAAAUCGCGUUUUUAAAAGUAUAUUUUUAACUGUGUGUUUCUGAUAGAGAAAUACAGUCAGUUCUUGUAUAAUGAUCUUAUUAUAUCCAGCUAUUGUUACAUAUUUUCAGCCAGUGGUUUGUAAAUUUUUUUUUUUUAUUACUGUGCAGCUAAUCAUAUCAAAUGCAAGCAGUAGCAUUUUCAUUUCUGCUCUUCCAAUCUUACGCUUUUAUUUCCUUGCACUUCUCACUUCAUUGGCUAGUGCCUUCAAUUCAGUAUUGAAUUAACCUGUGAAGGUAGGCAUCCUUGACUUUUUCCCCUUGGUUUCCUAUUUAUUUUUUAUUCGUGAACAAGACUGAAUUAAUGCCUUACUGUUUAAUACUACAUUUGCUGAUCACAUUUUCAUCAGAGAAAAUGUAAGACCUUACCUUGUUUUGUUAACUUUUCUCCAAUUUUUAUGACUAUGUUUUCUCUGUGUUACCAAUAACCAAAGCCUCAAACUCUCCUGGAAAAUUACUUUAUGUCAAGUGAUAUACUAUAAAUUAUUGAGUGAGUGGUGCUUUUAAAAAUGUAGUCACCUAAAAUUUCAAACUAAGAGGAUCAUUUGUAUGAACUAAGCAUUUUGGAUACUUAAGUGGAGACAAGUACCAUAGUUUGUGUUGACUUGAGAUUCCUUGAUAAGGUGGUGUGUACAUCAUCCUCUUAAAUUUUGAUUUGAACUGUGGAAUCAAUCCUUCAGUAGCAUUUUUCACAAUUUAAAAUGCCUGGUUUGAAUGGCUCACUUUUUUUCCCUUUGCUCAUGCAAUUUUUGUUAAGACUUGAACAGAUUCCUCCUAAUCCUGUGAGCAGCCUGCAGGAAGACAACUAUUAAAAGUAGAAAGCUAUUAAGCAGUCAGGGGUUUAUUAUGCUUUAGUGUUUUGUUUAAGUCUGUUCUUAAUUGGUUGAUUAAUGUAUGUGAAGUCCUUUCCCCCCUCCAUCUCUACAGAUGGCAAAUGGUAGGUCCCAACUGUCAUUGUUCCGAAAAAAGGUUAUGGUUCAAAGUCAAAGAUUCCGAGAUACCACAAUAAUCAAUCAUAGGAACUUGUCUCAGAGUGCCCAGCCAGGCAAAAGUUAGGGAGAGUAGUAUUUACUUGGAAUCCCUUAGGGGCAUCUUUUUUUUUUCUUUUGGUGUGUUCUUGAUUUUAUUUAGAAAAGAUUAUUUAAUUAAUAGAAAUGCCUCUGUGAAUUUAGUGUCAGGCAUUUAGAUAAGUAUGAAGAAGAUUGGUAAAUAAGUUUUCUGUUUAUUGAUUAUCAAAUAUUGCUGGAAUUGAGGCAUGCAGUUUUAAAAUGGGUGUAACAGAGAAAGUAACAUUCUUACUAUAUUGAGAUUAACAGAACACUUUUAAAGGAACACCUUUUUACCAUUUUCAUGUGAAGAUGAUUUAUAAUGGUUAACUUCCUUUUUUUAGGAGGAAGAAUAGAAUUAUGUUCUGGUAUUGAUCCAUAAAGAGGAUUUGCAUUUUAUUCAUACUAUAAAAGUACCUUUAAUGGAUACAUUGUGGUAAUUGAAUCUAUACUGUGUAUCACUAUCAAAGUAUCUUUUUAAUUAUUUUAUGUUGCAUAAUUCAGUAACUAAAUUUAAGUCAUGGGGAAGGAGAUGACUAUAUUAUAUCUUCUAAGUAUAAUGUAUAGCCUUUAAUAUUCUUAAAGUGGACAGCAGUUAAGGACAUUUUUAGUUGAAUGCCAGAGAGAGAGAGAGAGAAAGAGAGAGAGAAAGAAAGAGAGAGAGGAGAUUCCAUUACAUUCAGCACAGUAUGAAACUAAGUCAAAGGAGUUUUGUUAAUUAAAUUCAAUUGCCAUCCAUUAGACCGGUGGAAUGAGUUUACUCUGCCAGGACGCUGACACAGCACAAGUAUGCAAUUUGGCUAAAUGGCCAUUUCUAAACCAUAGCGCACAUUUCUCCACUUGCUCACUUUUUUUUUUUUUUAAGUGAGAGGUUUUACUCUUGAAAAGUCAGAGAGUAACCAGUGCUUGCUGAAGGGUAAAGGUAUCAUUUUUAUGCAGUUUGUUGAGAAACAAUUAGCUUUUUGUCUUGGAGAUGUGUAGUUCACAUGGAGAGUUUGGGAGAAAAUGAUUCUUUAAAAAAGUAUGCCAUACCUGUAGGCGAGCAUAUUUUCAAACUGUACACGCACGUGUCAUGGAGACACAUGUGUGUUUUAAAAUUUAGUUGUCUUUUAAUCGAAAGCUUUUUAAAAGUCAUAAUUAUUCCUUGAAUUUUUAAAAGCAUCCUUGAAGUCGAACUACAAUCUGAAUAUAUAUUUGGGGGAAGUUAUAAUAAUUGUGGGAAUUAUAAAAAUGAAAUUUAGGUGGUGGGUAUGUACAUCUACAUUUUGGCAUAAAUCGCUGCUUUUAGAGGCUUUAUAUGUCAGACUGAUAAGUUUCUUACCAUGGUGAAAUGACAGGAAUACCACUCAGGCAUUGGCUGACACAUAAUUUUGACAGCCAGCAAGAUUGCAGUGUUGCUGAGUGCACAGAUUUCCACUUCCUGCCAAGAUUAAAAUUGGCAAAAACCAAAAAGGAUAUUAGGGAUUGUCACUUUAAGAAGAAAUAACAUGUUAAUGCUCUGCAUUUGCUCAAGAAAUACAAGGUUGAUCUCUUGAGCUGUAGUCUGUUGAAAUCUACAAGUUUGCAAUCAAUAGAAGAGUUUUAUUCAUGUGCACAUCAAAAAUUAAAUAAAGUAAAUCGAGGUUCCCUGACAUUUGUGAUAAUAAGGCUCAUUAUAGUUCUACUUAAUAGGACAUUAUUAUUUCUGUAUAAAGAGAAUUCCUCACCCAAGCUAUAAAAUAGGUUGCCCAACAGCUCCCAAAGAACAAAGGCCUACUUUAAGUUUAUGAAUCAGAAGACAGAAGGCCUUACUUCCUGAAUUUUCUUAUUUUUUCCUGUGUGAGCAGAUGGUUUUUCUUUUUAUACGUUGCCAGAACUUUCCUAUAACAAUAACUGUCGUUUAUUGAGAAACUACUAUGUUCUGGGUUCUGUACCCGGGCACUCAAACCUCAGACUUUUUUUUUUUUUUUCUUAUUUAGUUUUUGUUUAAAUCUAGACAGAAAAAUGAGGAAAAAUCUAGACAGAAAAAUGUUGUGAAAGAGUCAGGCUCUGAAUUAUGCUUCUACUUUGCUAUUUACAGUAAGUACUUUUGAAACAGCUGUAGACGUUCAAAUGAAAGUAGCAAUGUGGAGUGGGAAAUGUGGGGGCAUUCAUUUGUGAAGACUUUGCAUUUCUCCAGCUUUAGAGCCAACAGAAAAGGAGAUUGUUGUGCAUUCUAUUAAAUACUGCCAGUAUGAUUAAUUUAAAGGGUUACAUUUUAUUGAACCCUGGUGUAGAUGUUCUUUGUCAACCCACAUUCACAGCUAGUUAGAGUGUGUGUAGCAUUUAUCAAAACUUUCUGGAGCCCCUCUCACCUCAUUAGCAUCUGAAUCUCUAUUCAGCAGUUAAUGUCCGUUACUGCUAGAGUGCUCAAUUCUUGUUUUCAAUAAGCCAGUUGUAAAAUGUCAGACUGUCACUUACAAUAUAAAAAACCAAAAAUGAUGGUAUUUGUAAAAAUGUUAUCACCUCAUAAAAACAAAUUGUAAAGACAUGAAAGUGAUCUUGCUAUACUGGGCUUUCAGAAGGGGGUUAGUACAGCUACUUUAAAUACCAGUUGUGUAGAUUCCCACACUUUUCUACCAAUGGAGAGGUUUACACAAGCAUAAUUUAAGUUACAAUCACACUAAUUAACAUCUCAUUUGCAUAAAUUGUUGAAGUCAAAACAACAAAGAAUUGUCUAAGAAGCCUAAUCCUAUUUGUCCAAAAUAGAAAGAUUUAAAAAAAAAAAAAAAAAACCCAUGCUCUAAAAAUUGGCAGCUUGAGUAUGUCUUUAGUAUGUUGAGCUGUGCCAUUUAAAAAAAUAAAUGCUUUCUAUUUGCUUAAGAAUGUAUUUCUCUGUCCUUUUUAGAGUCUUCCAUAUUUAAUACACUUUUAAAAUGAAAAAGCUAUACUUUGCUUUCUAAAUCAGUAAUAAGUAGAGAUUAAAAUCAAGGUACAGUACCAUUUACCUGUGGUAGAGAGUAACAUGACUCGUUAGAUGCAUGGUGAAGCAUAUGUGUGUGUACACGUGUGUGUGUGUGUGUGCCGUGUGUGUGUGUGCCGUGUGUAGGAAUUGGUAAAGUGUUCCUGUCUGAAUCCAUGUUCAGUUAAAAUUUUUUAGUGUAGGCUGGUCUCAUUCAGAGCGUCCAGCUGUUUUCAACGUCUUGUAUUUUCCUUUUUGUUGUUGUGAAUGAGGACACGUUAAAGGUAGUUUUUACCCAUGUCUUCUACAUGUGUGAUAGCUCACAUCUCAGGUCAGAAAACUUUCUUUUUAGUGGCCACCCAAAUGCAGUUAGCCGCCUCGAGGGUGACUUAGUACGGUACACCGUCUUCUUCUUCUCUAAGACCCAUUUAAAAUUAGGGACAUGUUUGCAUACAGUGGACUAAUGAAGUUUUCAUACUGCCCCACAAGACUCUGCUCUCCUUUGUAGGUCUGACAUUUACUCAUUUCAUAUGCAGUUAUUGUUACUAGUGAGUUUGCUUUAACGACAUUGUGCAUCUAUGGAAAUAAAAUGUCACCAGCAGAGUUUAGGAUUUUUUAUUGUUAAUUUUUGUAGUCAUUUGGGGUUGAGGAAUUUAAAUUAUCCUGCUUGGUUAGUAUUUCCAAUGUGAAAUACUUGGUUAGUAUUUCCAAGCCCUGAAAUUGUGACAAGGUUAGGAAUAUGAUUAGAAUGAAAGUUUUACUUGAAGAUUGUCAGUCUGGAAAGCAUUUUAUUUGUUCGUAAUAUAGAGCAUAUCUUAAUUUAAUUGUGAUAGUCUUUAAAUCUGUUCUUUAAUUUGAUCUUAAAAUGUAAAGUUUACAAAUUACUGUCUUAGAAAUAGUGAAUUUACAAAUACGUAUUGUCAACUGCAUGUGAGCCAUUAUGCUAGGUUUGGUGAAGGAUGUAAUCUUACACAGUGUCGCCUUGCUUGUAUGAAACAUACAUUUUUCUUGGGCAUAUAAAAAUAAGUACGGGUGAGAACACGUUUUGUGGAAAUUCAGGAGAGAAUUUGUGAAGUAUUGGGACAGUCUAGAAAGCUUUCGGAUAAAAUGAAAUUUGAGUUAUGGAUUGAAGGAUUGUUUGGAUUUUUAGUGGGUGAGGAGGGGUGCUGCUAGAGACUAGUAGAAGGCCUGGAGAGCAGGGGCGAGGCAUGAGGGAAGCUGUGGAAGCAGGAAUAUGCAGUUUUGCCCCAGGUGGGGUCAGCUGAGACAUUUGGUUAGGAGACGGUUUCCUGUAGGGCAGGACAUUGAGUGCCAGUUGAAAGAUUUAGACAAUAGAAAGUCAGGUAGGGUUUCUGAACAGGAGCAUAACGUGUUUCAGGAAGUGUUUUGGCAAGAGUAAUCAUGAAGCUGAAAUGCAGGGAGCCUUGUAAAAGACGACAGAGUAGAGUUAGGGGCAGUGAGUGAUAGAUCUUGUAGGUGUGUUGGCACAAGAUUAAAAAUAAUAGUGAUUUUCAUUUCAUAUGCCCUGAGCAAUAUAAUAAGCUAAAUACAUGAAAUGAAAGUGUGCUUUUGAAAAGUAGUUAGUGAUUUCUGAUUCUAAGUGGUGUUUAAAACCUUUUAAAAGAUAUAUUUCCAUAAAAUAAAUUUUAUUUCUUUUAAUUUUUAAUAGUGAUUAAUUCUGUGAUUUAGAAAGGUGUGUGUACAAAAAAAGAGAACAUUAUUUCCUUUCACCUUUCAGAGGAAAUUGAUUUCCAGAUUAUUUUCCCAUGUAUUUUUUUAAAAGUUGACUUUUAAAAGAACACAUUCCUGUUUCUUUUGAGUAUGGCCAGAUUACUUCAUUGCCAAUAUUUGAUCUUUAUUGGUAGGUGAGGGCAUGUCAGAGCUACUCAGGAGAACGUUCUGGACCUUUCUUCUUAUCUUUUAAAGGCUUAUAUUUGAUAAGGUUGGACAUGGUGUGUACAUGGUGACUUUUAUCAUUCUUCUUGUCGCUUUUCUAUGUUUACUUCAUUCAUAGUAUGUAAUCUGAGAGUGCCUUCAGGAGACUAGGAAAGAUCUGGCCACAGACACCACAUUUUGGGUAUUUUAACAUAUUCAGGAGAAAAUUGGGUGUUGUAUUCAGACAGGAAGGUAGAUUGGCAUAGAUAGAAGUGCUUAUUUUCAAUAUUCAAGGAAUACGUACUAAUCCUCUACUGGAAAUAUGGUAACAUGGCAUGUUGAUGGAGAAACAUAAAAUCAAGAAGCUGUCCUUCCCUUCCAGAUGCUCAUUGGUUGGUAGGAGAAGAGGCAAAACAUGUGAAGUGGUAUGCUUUUUUCUUUUUUUUUAAAUUUUUAAAAUGUUUAUUUAUUUUUGAGAGACAGAGAGAGAGAGAGAGUGUGAGUGGGGGAGGGACAGAGAGAGAGAGAGAAAGACUCAGAAUCUGAAGAGGCUCCAGGCUCUGAGCCGUCAGCACAGAGCCCGACGCGGGGCUCGAACCACAAACUGCGAGAUCAUGACCUGAGCCGAAGUUGGAUGCUUAACUGACUGAGCCACCCAGGUGCCCCUGGUAUGUUUUAUAGUAGAAUUCAAGGGACCCACAUGACUCAAGAGAGGACAGUAUUGAUUCUGAGUUGUGGAGAAAGAGAAAUACUUCUGUGAAGGAGAUGACAUCAAAGCAGGGUCUUGGAGGUUGGCAGGAAAAUGAAGGGACCGAGCACGCAGAUGGGGGUUUAUGGCGUGUGUUCUGUAAAUGCCACAUGGCUCAGAUGAAGCACAGAGCAUGCAGUGUAUAUGAUGUCUUCACGUCUGCCCUUAUUUGUUCAGCAAACACCCGUCGCUUACCUUGUGCCAACCAUUGAGCUAGGCUACCUGUAAGGAACCCACCAGCUUCUUCAUGGACAGAGUUGAAAGGGUUUGUCCAGUUGCCUUUGCCCCUGAGAGAGAGAAGGUCCACAUUUGGUACCUUUGGCAUAGUAUCCCUUGGCAUAUUUAAAGUUUGGUUCAAGAGCAUAUUGAAAAUUUCACAUUCCUGGGGCACCUGGGUGGCUCAGGUGGAUAAGCAUCCGACUUCGGCUCAGGUCAUGAUCUCAUGCUCUGUGAGUUUGAACCCUGUGUCGGGCUCUGUGCUGACAGCUCAGAGCCUGGAGACUGCUUUGGAUUCUGGGUCCCCCUCUCUCUCUGCCCCUCCCCUGCUCACACUUGGUUUCUCUCUCUCUCUCAAAAAUAAAUAAACGUUAAAAAAUAAAUAAAUUUUCACAUUCCCUUCACUAAAGCAUGAAACUUUCAAACCUAUAAAAAGAUGGUGAAGAGCAUGUUCUCCCUGCUCCUUUCCUUUCUUCACUUGCAGCUGGAUUGUUCCUCCUUCCCUCCAAGGGUGAUCUGUGGAGUAUCUGUUUGUCCUUCCUUUAGUGUGAGGAAUCCCCUUCUUUUUCCCCCAAGAGAGUUUGGGUCUGAUGCUGAUUUUUUCUCAUUCUGGGACUGCCCAGUUAUAACAGAGUUCAGUGGUAUAAAUGUGAGGCCCAAAUUAGAGAUCCCAGAAUAAAGUCGGAGAAGAAUUCUUCAGUUAUUGAUAGAAUUGUCUUAUGGAUUUGAGCAAAGUCUUGUAUAUGGUGAAAAUGAGACCCUGAGUUAAUUAAAAUAACUUCACAGUACAUAUCUGUCCCUCCCAGUGCUGCUAUAAAUAAUUGCAAAGGUAAGGAUUCUUAGUAACUGCAAAUAUGCAGAAAACAUGGAUAUUAGAAAGUUUCGAUGACCUUAAUGAAGAAACAAACUUGGCUCUGGAUCUUUGCCUAGCAGGAAUGAAGUUUUUUGAAUAUGAUAAACACUGUCAGUUGUUAAGGCAUCUUCUGAUAGGUGAAAAGUGGUUUUUCAAUGCAGUGCUGCCUGGCAUGCGUCUUCUCUAUGGUCUAUUAUCUUGUGGGAAUGACAUUCGUUAAGUUGGUAUCUGUGUGCAUCCCACCCAAAUAAAGAAUGUUUCAUCAGCAAAGUGAAUUGCCAUAUAGUCAUCAGACUCUAGAAAUAAAUUAUCAACCAUGACUGCAGUGGGUGAGGCUGUUUGUUUAUCAGAUCACUUGAGAACAGAGUAAAGUGAGUUUCAUAUUUUCCUGAGUCUUGAAUUCUCAUUUUAGACAUCUGUUCAGAAGCUUUCUAAGCCAUGGAGUAUUCUAAAUGAGCAUUUUGUUAAAUGGAUGGAGGAAGACUUAGUUUUCCAUUGUUAGGUGAAACCUAAUUAAAAAUUAAAUAAUGACCUUGUGUUGGCUUGUAAAUUUCUUAUUCCCUGCAUGUGUGAGUGUAUUUUGUUAGAACAUUCCAUUUUAAAGCAUGCUUUUUUUUUUUUUUUUUUUAAUGAUGAGAAAUACUUGAAAACUACCAUUUCCUUUUGGAAUUACAGUCGAGUAUCAGAGGAUAGUCUAUAGUUGAGAGUGGAGGGGUUUAGAAGGUGUUAGAAGCAUAUAGCUUUAUGAACCAUAUUUUCUGUGGAUAUAGCAGAAUUAGUUUAAUUGUUCUGUUUCACUCUCUCCAGCAUGAGUGCACUCAUCAUGGAAAUUAACAGAGGCACUGCUAUUUGUGUUAUAUCAGGAAUUCUUUAUAAACUUAAUAAAUGAAAGCUUUUUUCUUACAGGCCCGAUUCACUAGUGGAGUUCUGCUGAAAUAAUGUGGCUACCUUCCAUUAAUGUUAAUGGAGGUUAUGGAUAUAAUUCCCUCCAUAGUGAUGGAAGAACGAGCCCUAGAGAAAAGAAUGUUUGUAAUGAAUCACUGGGUUAUGACACAGGAUUCACUUGGUCUCCCUAAUACUAUUUUUUUUUCCUCCUGAAAGUUUAAGGUCUUAUAUUUAGUAACUAGUCUUUCUCUACCCUAAUUCUUUGUGGUCAAGUCUGUAAUAAUGUUAAGAACAUAGAAAAGCAAUAUGGAUUCAUGUGUAGGCAUGGUUUGGGGUUAUGUAAUGAUUCAGCACUACAUAGUUUUGUGUUUUCCUUUUACUUAAUAUUAUUUGGUGGACAUAACUUUAAUGUUUUAAGAGAUCAUCAUAUUUUUCACUAAUAAUAGUUGCUUUAAUAAUUUAUUGUCCUGACAGACUGCAGUUUAUCAGUUAAGUAUUAAAUCUCUCAAAUAUAUUUAUUAAAUACCUACUGUGUAUAAGGUUCUAAGUUUAAUGCGUUUGACACAAUCCCUAUCUCAAAUUGCCUUUCAUCUUGUGAUAUAAGUAGAACCCAGUCUUUAGGCUUUUUCUUGUGGGCCAAGAUCAAGUGCGAAGAAUUUGGUGGGAGAUGGGUGUGUGUGUGUGUGUAUGUGUGUGUGUGUGUGUGUGUGUGUGUGUGUCUUUCUGUCUGUCUCACAGGGACUGAAGAAAGGAAGGCCGUUGUGGUUGGUGGUGUGUUGGAGAGACUGGUCUAAAGAGAGAUAACUGAGUUCCUCCAGGGAGGAAACACAAGAUCUUACCACAAGAUCACAUAGCAAGUCAGUGGGGGUGAAGGUAGCGUUUGACUCCAGACUAUGCUGGUAGACUAUCACGUGAUUCAGGCACCAGAGCAUGAACGCCAAAGACUAGUGGAAGAAAUAAUUUCUAUAGGCAUCCAAACACUUUGAUCUAGAGGAAAUUUCAGGACUCUCUGAGAAAGUGUAUAGCAUAUGAAAGAUACUAUAGGUAUUUUCUUCCUAUAAUAUAAGCAGAAAAUUAUUCAGGCUCAUUUUCAGAUAAAUUGUGAUCUUGAGUUGAAAGACAUAAUGUACCUAAACCCUUUUUUACUGGAUGAUCUUUUCCCAUGAAAUUUCAAAUAUUUAUGCAUGUAAUUUGGUGAUGAUUUUUGCUAUUUAGGUAUUUUCCUCCCUAGUAACACAAAAUCUUGCUUACCCAACUCCCAAAGUCCAUCUCACUAGUAAGCUCCUCAGCCUCUGUUCUUGUGCCCAGUAAGUGCUCCUCGUUACCAGGUCCACAUAAUUAAUGCUUUAUCACAUGAGGUGAUUCAGUUACUCAGCAAAACAAAAUGAUGUACACUUUUAGAAAUAGCUCUAGAAAGUAAAUUUGAACCUAAAGUGUUCAGUUGAGAGGAAAUUUCUGUUUGUUCUUAAUUAAGAGAAACUGUAUGGAAAUGUAAGCUAAGGAUGCAUUAAUCAGAGAAGUUGGCAUUACAUUGUGUUAUUCAUUUUUAUUUGGCAUAGAUUGCAUGGGUACUCAUUAAAUAAUUUGUAUGGCUGAAAUAACUCUAGUGAUAUUUCUUGCUAAAUUUUUGCAUCUGUUCAGACUAAAACUCAGGAAAGUUAAAAAAAAAAAUUCAGUCCUUAGGUUUGAAAGUUUGACUCAUUUAUUAUAAGUGAAAAUCUUUAUUGUGGAAAUAUAUAUGCCUCAAAAUGUUUGCUUGCUUCAUUUUGGGGGAAGAAAUGUGUGAGAGUAGGUAAAUUGUUAAUGAAAAAUUAUUAAUCAAAUAGCAGAUUUAUAUCUGGUGAAUAGAUACUUAUGCUUAAUGCUCUUCAAUUUUAACAGCUUUGCCUCAGCCCACCUUAUCUGUGACCUUAUCAACUUUGAUAUUAUUGUUUUUUUUUUUAACUUUGAUAUUGUUUUACAAACAAAUAGUAGAAGGAGAAAGUUUGCAUAUUUAGAAGUUUGGUAGUUGAUUCCCUUUGUGGGUAAAUGCACAUCUCAGGGGGAACCUGAUCUGUAUAGAUAGCCUAUUUGGAUCAAGGGCAAGGAAAAGGAAUUUCCUUUACCCAUUUAUAUUUUUUGGUUUAUAUAGGUCAAACUAGAUUUCUUGGACCUACUAAAUUUAUGUGGUGUACACAUGGCUGUAGGUUUGGUCUGGGCUCUGUAAUAUUUGUAAUUAUGUGAGAUGACAAGAUUGAAUUAACUUAAUUGUAGAGUUUUACAUAGUGUUUGUACCAAAUCCUAAUAAAAUAAUGUGAAAUUCAAUGAGUAAUGCCAAGUGGGACAGUGCUCUACUCACAUAAGCUUACUAAACUUGAUAUAUUCUUAUGGCGCUUCUCCAGAAUGCAGAAGAAACACAUUUAUCUAGGUGAUUAGUAUUCUUUCUGUCUGCCAGAUUUAAGGAUUGUUUGGAAAUAUUGUUAGAAUCAAAAUCAACGUUUGUUGCUACACAGGGUUGGGCAUUCCAGGCAAACUCUGGUCGUUUUUAAUGGUCUUAUUCUUAUGUCCACUCAUUUUAUGUCUGCCAUGACACUGAUGUUUUCAGUAACACAGAGCUGCUAUCAAAAGAGUGAUACACUUUUAAGUGAAGUAUUUGGGAAAGUAAUAAAGUCAUUUCUGGUCCCAUCUCAAAGGAUAUUAUUGAAAAUGUCUUUAAAAGUGAUCAGGGUAACACAUACUAGGCCCUCUCCAGUUCCGGUGUUUGAAGUUAACAACCUGCAGUUCAAGCCCAUUUCAAGCAGAAAAGUGGCUCUCCCACAAUUCCUCCUCCCCCUUUUUUGAACCACAGACAUUUUUAUUUUAUUUACUUAUUUAUUUUUAAGUUGAAGUAUAGUUGACAUACAAUACUAUAGUACCUUCUGAUGUAGUGAUUUGACAAUUAUGUUCGUGACAAAAUGCUCACACAAACUACUCUUUAAAUACUGUAGCUGGUUCUAAAUUUAAGGAAAAAUGAAAAUAUUGGGAAAUCAUAGUCAAAAUAGUUCAAAAGAAGUUCAGAAUAGUCAAAAUAGUCAAAAUAGUCAAAAGAAGUUCAGGACAGAAGAUGCUUUUAUGGUUGGUAACUGCCCAAAUCGGUUUUAACUUGAACAUGGCAAUGCUUUGCAUUUUAUGAUGGCUAAUUCGUGCCAUCUAUUAGCCAUAAUGCCAGCUCCUGUUUUGUUUUUUUUUUUUAAAUCUCAAAUACAUUUACAGUAAAUAUAUUAACAAAUUGUGAGGUCUUAGGUUGACCUCCUGGACAUUAGGAAAUCAAAUUUAAAGCAUUGCAUUGUCUGUUACUCAAUGGAGUGGACUGAGUACAGCGUGUGACUUGUGUUCUGCCGAUGAUGCAAUAAGCUAAUAUUGUAGUGUGAGUUAAGGUUGAUUAGAUGAUCAUCUUUAACUCUGUUUUCUCCAGGGGUUUUUGAACGCUCGUGUUUUCAGGUGAUAGUCUAUGCCCCUAUUAUAUUGCUCUUUUAAAAAAAGUAUUCUCUUUUGGGCAAGAAAACAUAGGCUCUCUUCGGAUUCUGGAUGGAAAUUAGCAACCUUAUGCUCAGAAUGUAAAAGUAUACUGUGUUAUCAUAAACUGACUCUCUUCAAAAAAAAAAAAAAUUCUAGGGAGUAAAAUACAUGCGCAAGAUACCAGAAAUUGAUUUACAGAGUUAUAGCUAUUUUUUUUUUUAACUUUCUUAAAAGUUUUUGUCCUGGAAUUAAUUUUCAGUGAAAACUAAGACAUUUUUCUUCUCAUCUGGAAUCAGUUUUUACCUCAUUAGCAGGAAAUGGUGAAUAUACAUUAAGCACAAAUAAAGUUCACUUUAUGAGGCAAAGAAUUUGCACUCGGAACGACACAGAGUUGAUGGAGUUCUCUUUUGUCAUGAGGAGGGAGAACGUGCAAAAGGCAGAGAAGGCCAGAGGCAGAGAGAGAAUCUUAAACAGGUUCCAUGCUCAGCAUGGAGUCUGAUGUGGAGCUCACUGUGGGGCUCAAUCCCACAAGCCUGGGACCAUGACCUGAGCUGAUACCAAGAGUCAGAUGCUUAACUGACUGAACCACCCAGGUGCCCCAUCACACAACUUGAUUUUAAAGGACAGUUUCUUUGCAAGUGAAAUAUAUCUAUGGAAAGAAAAGCAGUCAUAUUUUCUUAUCUGAAGUGACUAGUUCUUUGCUGUAUUUCCAUUAGGGCUAUUUUCCAAGGGGAGUUUCAAAAUAUUGAAUAUGUUAAAGAUUUCUAAUAAAGCUAGGAAUUUUGAGAAAAAUUCAGAGUGCAGCCAUAACUUCCUUCAAACUAUCUCUUAGAGGAGCCCCCGUUCAAGUUAGAAUCUUGGCUUGAUGGACAAGGGAAUUGACCCAGUGCAAUGGUUCUCGCAUUGUUAUGAUGAACUUUCCUUGACUCGUCUCCUCAAAAAGUCAAAGUCAGUGUCUUUGAUUGCUUCAAACACGAUUGUCUUGUCUCACUAGCUUAGACUUUAAGCUUUUCUUAUGCUCCCAGAAUGACUUCUUUGGUAAUUACUUCUACUUUUUAUUA
Molecule: long non-coding RNA, 13608 nt
Organism: Neofelis nebulosa (Clouded leopard)
Lineage: Eukaryota; Metazoa; Chordata; Mammalia; Carnivora; Felidae
Exons: 3
Source: RefSeq, a predicted model, not a curated record